RNAcentral lists this long non-coding RNA (1088 nucleotides) under Pan troglodytes (chimpanzee). RNAcentral's name for it is "long non-coding RNA NONPTRT001586". The record is from RNAcentral. Lineage: Eukaryota; Metazoa; Chordata; Mammalia; Primates; Hominidae.
CUGAGGGGGUGUCCAGGACAGUGAAGCCACCAAAGAGCGCGUGACAGGAAUGGGGAUGCUCGGGCUGGAGUCGGCAGAGGAAGACAACACGGGCCACGCGGGUGUCUCCACCUCCGCAGAAGCAGUGAGAAGAAAGGAGCAGUCAGGCACAGCUGGGUUCCUCUUCCCCGGAAUGUGAUCUGGAGGAAACGGUUUAACCUCCCAGACCUCCCCACAUCUGUAAAGCAGAGAAGACAGCAGCACUUGCCCGAUGCGGCCAUCUCGAAGGCUCGCCACCCGCGGGAGGCACCGGAAACGGAGCUGCCAGGACCCUUUUCUCAAGAUGGCGCCCAAGGUGGACACUGAGCCAGGCCGCAUCCAGCGGGGAGCCCUGCAUGGGCAGCAGGUGAAGCCCCUUGGAGAUGCCCAGGGAUCCAAAGGCGACAUCAUUGAUGGCAAGGCUGCCCCUCUUGGUCUCUGGGUUUGCCACCGCUCUGGCUUGGAGACAGGUGCUGCAGCCUUCCCAAUGCUGGGCUCACUCUGGACUCGUCAUGAAGUGCUUUCUGCCAGGGCACCCUGGUUGGAAGUUUAGAAGCCCUAAAGGACAGCUACAAUUGUGGCAGCUGUGAGAGAGCAGCUGUUGUUGAUCCACACAUGGGCCAGAAGGUUUAUUCCGAGAGGUUCUGGAAAUCUGCUGGAAGGGAUGACUCCGUUAUGUGGGGAACACACUCAGAUAGUUGCAUAUUCACUCAUCUACACCACACCAUGAAUAAAACUUAGAUUCCAGAUUUUAAACACUGCCAAAGGGCAACUUCCUCCCUUUACCCACUGACCUCACAACUGCCCUCAGCACACAGUCAUCCCAGACCUGCUCCCACAACAGGGCUCCCUCCACUGCUGCGGCCCGGCUCAGGGUCACCCUGGGAAAUGAUGGUUAAAAAAUAAAAAUGACUGAGGUGCCCGGUUCAGCCUUCUGUGCCGAAUGAGCGCAGCAGCCAGGUGCAACCGGAAUGACCGAUGGGGACCAACAGAUGUCCCUCCCACAUGGCACCAGCAGCCAGGGCCCCUGAAGGCCACUGUUCACCUUGGCCCUCAUCCUGCAAACAUGU